Molecule: long non-coding RNA, 525 nt
Filed under: Eutrema salsugineum
Lineage: Eukaryota; Viridiplantae; Streptophyta; Magnoliopsida; Brassicales; Brassicaceae
Description: long non-coding RNA (ESAL_LNC000652)
Source: RNAcentral
AUGAAUCUAUCUAUUUAACACACUAAAAUGAAAAUGGGUCUUAUGUUUUACAAUGCGGUGAAUAUAUUCAUUCAUCGGAUGGAUGAUUUGUUUUGUAGUUGUGUUGAGGUUAUUCAACUGUUAUUAACACAAACUUUACCUCCAUAGCCAUUCUAGCAUUUUGACAGAAUUUGUGGCCUAAUUGUGUUGUGGUUUGCAGGAGUUAGUGACCUUUAGUACUUGCCCUCUCUUAAAAUCACCAGAAAUUUCAAAUGCUGGAAAGCAUCUCUCUGCUGCGGAGUUUCAUUCGGUCCUGCAGAGUGCCGUCCUGCAGAGUGCCAGUAAGAUUUUUUUUUCUUUUUCUUUUUAUCUAUUGCUGCUAUAUUCUGUGUCUCAUCUGAUUAUGUUUUCUUGAAACUCAGACGAAAAACCGGAUGAAGAUGGGAAGUCUGAGAAUAAGGAACUUGUUUUGCUGGACGCGAGGAACCUGUACGAGACACGGAUUGGCAAAUUCGAAUCAGAAAAUGUUGAGACCCUUGAUCCUGA